RNAcentral lists this ribosomal RNA (651 nucleotides) under Streptomyces dysideae. Its description in RNAcentral is "bacterial LSU rRNA". It matches the Rfam family "Bacterial large subunit ribosomal RNA", at positions 1 to 584 of the family's 2925-position model. Lineage: Bacteria; Bacillati; Actinomycetota; Actinomycetes; Kitasatosporales; Streptomycetaceae. The record is from RNAcentral.
ACAGUGGACGCGAGCAUCUGUGGCCAAGUUUUUAAGGGCGCACGGUGGAUGCCUUGGCACCAGGAACCGAUGAAGGACGUGGGAGGCCACGAUAGUCCCCGGGGAGUCGUCAACCAGGCUUUGAUCCGGGGGUUUCCGAAUGGGGAAACCCGGCAGUCGUCAUGGGCUGUCACCCAUACCUGAACACAUAGGGUAUGUGGAGGGAACGCGGGGAAGUGAAACAUCUCAGUACCCGCAGGAAGAGAAAACAACCGUGAUUCCGGGAGUAGUGGCGAGCGAAACCGGAUGAGGCCAAACCGUAUGCGUGUGAGACCCGGCAGGGGUUGCGUAUACGGGGUUGUGGGAUCUCUCUUCCACGGUCUGCCGGCCGUGGGACGAGUCAGAAACCGUUGAUGUAGGCGAAGGACAUGCGAAAGGUCCGGCGUAGAGGGUAAGACCCCCGUAGUCGAAACAUCAGCGGCUCGUUUGAGAGACACCCAAGUAGCACGGGGCCCGAGAAAUCCCGUGUGAAUCUGGCGGGACCACCCGCUAAGCCUAAAUAUUCCCUGGUGACCGAUAGCGGAUAGUACCGUGAGGGAAUGGUGAAAAGUACCGCGGGAGCGGAGUGAAAUAGUACCUGAAACCGUGUGCCUACAAGCCGUGGGAGCGUCG